Molecule: ribosomal RNA, 415 nt
Filed under: uncultured prokaryote
Description: bacterial SSU rRNA
Rfam family: Bacterial small subunit ribosomal RNA
Source: RNAcentral
GUGUCAGCAGCCGCGGUAAGACGAACCGUCCGAACGUUAUUCGGUAUCACUGGGCUUACAGAGUUCGUAGGCGGCCAGGUAGGUCAGGUGUGAAAUCCCACAGCUCAACUGUGGAAUUGCGCUUGAAACCGCCUGGCUAGAGGGAGACAGAGGUGAGCGGAACUGAUGGUGGAGCGGUGAAAUGCGUUGAUAUCAUCAGGAACACCGGUGGCGAAGGCGGCUCACUGGGUCUCUUCUGACGCUGAGGAACGAAAGCUAGGGGAGCGAACGGGAUUAGAUACCCCGGUAGUCCUAGCCGUAAACGAUGAGCACUAGUCCGUGGGGACUCUCACAUCCUCUCGGACGUAGCGAAAGUGUCAAGUGCUCCGCCUGGGGAGUAUGGUCGCAAGGCUGAAACUUAAAUGAAUUGACGGGG